UACAGAGGUCUCAAGCGUUGUUCGGAUUCAUUGGGCGUAAAGGGUGCGUAGGUGGCGCCGUAAGUCAGGUGUGAAAUCUCGGGGCUCAACUCCGAAACUGCAUUCGAUACUGCGGUGCUUGAGGACUGGAGAGGAGACUGGAAUUCAUGGUGUAGCAGUGAAAUGCGUAGAGAUCAUGAGGAAGACCAGUGGCGAAGGCGGGUCUCUGGACAGUUCCUGACACUGAGACACGAAGGCCAGGGGAGCAAACGGG
This 253-nucleotide ribosomal RNA is filed under the name uncultured bacterium. Its description in RNAcentral is "partial 16S ribosomal RNA". It matches the Rfam family "Bacterial small subunit ribosomal RNA", at positions 524 to 776 of the family's 1533-position model. The record is from RNAcentral.